Molecule: long non-coding RNA, 1010 nt
Organism: Oryza sativa Japonica Group (Japanese rice)
Lineage: Eukaryota; Viridiplantae; Streptophyta; Magnoliopsida; Poales; Poaceae
Source: RefSeq, a predicted model, not a curated record
GGGGAGCGCCCGAUCUGGCUCCCCGCGCCGGACGCCCGGCUAUAAUCAUUCUCGGCCUUCUACUCCCCUCUCUCUCUCUCUCUAAAAAAGGCCAUAUGCCGUCCGUCACCGUGCGGCCGGCGGCGGUGGCGGCGGAUGGCAAGCAAGACCGGAAAGUGCAAGCGGCACAUGCCAACCAGCCGUAGCAAGGCCGCGCCACUUCGUCCCAAGUCAGGUCCCACGGCGACGGGCCGACGGCGGAAGCGGUUUCCGCCCCCACGGCCGCGCCCCUCCCUUCGCCGGCUGCGCCGUCAGGGUGAUGGCAGUUGGGAAAGAUCGAUCAAUCUUGCUCGCUGCGACUGUAAUGACCCAAGGAGCUGUGUUAUAAAGGACUUGAGGUCGAGGGCCUCUAUUUCCCCCGGCAUAAACAACAGUAAUCCCAUUCUGGACUGCAUGGAGUGCCCCAAAUGAAUUCUCAUCAACACCAAGUGAGAGGGACAGGAUAUCGACUCCAUCAUGGAUAGCAUCAUCUAGAGCUGCUAGUACUGCGGCAGUAGCGAGUUGCUCCUUUGCAGAAACUCACUGGGUGGUUCAUUUUUAAGCCCGAGGAAAUCCCAGCUUCUGGUGGUCAUUAGCUCAUGCUUCUGAUUUGGAGUAAUACUGAUAACUUCAGGAUAAGAGUAAGAAGCUAUCAGCUCACUGACGAGCAGGGAUUUUUUCCAAACAGUUAGUGAGUGUAAUCACUUGGUGUGAGCAAAUUUCUGCGCCCAGUUACAUCAUCUGGCAUUUCUUCCAAACAGUUAGUCAAAACGUUCCAAUCAGCAGGGAUUUUCUUGCAAGAUACUAUCAUGCUUAUGUGUCAUCAUUUUUUUCCUUGGCAUUUGUUAGACAUCAUUGUAUGGAGUCAUGACCCACAGUUUGACUAGUCGAAUCCAAGGAAUAGUAGGCGUUAAUCAAGUGGAGCACAAUCUGUUUUCUUGGAAGAGAAGUAGAAGAGGAUAAAUUGAACCUUGAAUGAACUUCUUGAGUGA